AUGCAUUUUAAAGGACUCAGACAAGGGGAUCCGCUUGCCCCAAUGCUUUUUAUCCUGGCCCUUGACCCCUUGCAGAGGAUUUUUCAAAGGGCGAAUGAUUUGGGCAUUCUUCCCCCCCUAUCAAACAGUGCUGCCAGGAUGAGAGCUAGUUUUUAUGCGGACGACGCGGCUCUUUUCCUCAACCCUGAUCGUGAUGAAAUGGUCGCAGUCCAGGCCAUUCUGGAAAGGUUUGGUGAGAUCUCUGGACUGUGUGCAAGCCUUCAGAAAUGUGUUGUGUACCCGAUCUGUUGCGAGUUGCUAGACUUAUCACAAAUUUUAUUGCCUUUUGGAGGCUCGACGGGCACCUUGCCAUGCAAAUACCUGGGAUUACCUCUGAGUGUUAGUAAGCCGAAGAGGGUGGAUGAGCAGGUGCUGAUUGAUCGCAUCGCAAGCAAGCUGUCGCCCUAG
RNAcentral lists this ribosomal RNA (447 nucleotides) under Triticum aestivum (bread wheat). RNAcentral's name for it is "partial small subunit ribosomal RNA". The record is from RNAcentral. Lineage: Eukaryota; Viridiplantae; Streptophyta; Magnoliopsida; Poales; Poaceae.